CUUAGAACUAUAUAAACUAUAUUUUUUUUUAGAUUUGCCCACUAAUAUGUAUUAUAGGUCUUGUUAUACGAAUCACAGUAGGCUUUGAUAAUUUAACUUCUUACGAUUUUAGUUAGACAGCAUUCAUUUCCCUUUUUGGCCUUGUCUACUUAACAUUUAUAUUUUAUUGUUGUAAUUUUUUUUCCCAAUUUACGGGAAUGUUGAAACUUUUCCUAUAAAAAGAAAACAUCGACUGCUUUGGAUUUCAGGAUCUUGAAAUCUGUUUUCUGAAAGCCAAUCAGCGGUCGAUAUUUACCAUCUCAGUGCCUAUUUCCGUGAAGAAGUUCAAUUUUAAGGUUGGGGAAUUUCGCCUGAUAUAAUCUACGACCUACUCUAAGGUCAGGAUGUGCUCGCCGUGCUACUCGUGCAACUAUUCCUGCACCACGCCCUGCAAUGGUUGCUGCUCUGGAUGUUGCGGCUGCAACGGCAACUGCGGGGGCGGAGGCUGCUCCGCCGCCUGCUUCUGCUACCCUAACUGUGGCGGAUGUGGACCCUGCUGUUAAGAACCUACUCAGAAAGAAAUUUUGGUGCUAUUUAUAAUAAAAUCUGUAGUUAAUUA
Drosophila montana is the source of this 598-nucleotide long non-coding RNA. RefSeq lists it as uncharacterized. Lineage: Eukaryota; Metazoa; Arthropoda; Insecta; Diptera; Drosophilidae. The transcript is spliced from 2 exons. The record is from RefSeq and is a predicted model, not a curated record.